RNAcentral lists this ribosomal RNA (488 nucleotides) under uncultured bacterium. RNAcentral describes it as "bacterial SSU rRNA". It matches the Rfam family "Bacterial small subunit ribosomal RNA", at positions 25 to 518 of the family's 1533-position model. The record is from RNAcentral.
CAGGACGAACGCUGGCGGCGUGCCUAACACAUGCAAGUCGAGCGGGGACAUGGAAGUAGCAAUACGGAAAUGUUCUAGCGGCGGACGGGUGAGUAACGCGUGAGCAACCUGUCCCAGUCAGGGGGAUAACGAGCCGAAAGGCUCCCUAAUACCGCAUGAGACCACAGCAUCACAUGGUGCAGGGGUCAAAGGAGAGAUCCGGACUGGGGUGGGCUCGCGUCUGAUUAGCUAGUUGGUGAGGUAAAGGCCCACCAAGGCGACGAUCAGUAGCCGACCUGAGAGGGUGAUCGGCCACAUUGGAACUGAGACACGGUCCAAACUCCUACGGGAGGCAGCAGUGGGGAAUAUUGGGCAAUGGGGGAAAAACCCCCUGACCCAGCAACGCCGCGUGAAGGAAGAAGGUCUUCGGAUCGUAAACUUCUAUCCUUGGUGAAGAUAAUGACGGUAGCCGAGAAGGAAGCCCCGGCUAACUACGUGCCAGCCGCCGC